This 716-nucleotide long non-coding RNA is filed under the name Androctonus crassicauda. The record is from RNAcentral. Lineage: Eukaryota; Metazoa; Arthropoda; Arachnida; Scorpiones; Buthidae.
GCCUUAUUGAGAAGAAUAAUAACACGUAACACUAGAGAAAAUAAUGAUAGCAUUAAACUGGAUUAUUAACCAGGCAGAAAUUCAUGGAUAUAAACAAAGCAUCAUAAUAAAAAUAUGGAAAGAAAUUCAGAUGAAAAGCAAGAUAACAAUAAAAGAACAUAAGGAAAACAUUCAAGAUCUUGAUGGGAUCCUUUAUCCAGUUGAAGUCAAUCUGGUAUUUUUAAGAUUUAGCAGAAAAAUCGAAAAGGCUGCAAAAAAAAAUAACCUUCAGAAGAAACAAUAUAUUAUUUAAUGCAUUAAAAAACAGUAAGGAUCAUCAACAACAACUAAAAAAAAAAUCAAAAGUAUAUCAAGUUCCUAUAAAAAACAACAUGGGCAAGGACAAAGUAUAUAUAUUGAGUGUACUGCUAGAUCGAUAUAAAAAAGAAUUAAGAAACAUAAAGCAGAUAUGAAUAAAGAACAGCAGAAUACUGCAUUCACACAAAGGAUUUUAAACUUUGAUGGCCAGGUCAUAUGGAACAACAUAAAGUUAUUAAAGAUUACAGAAGACUCAAUAAGAGCAAAGUUUGCAGAGGUUUUCAAAAUUUUUAAGAAUAAAAAUGCAGAAAAUAAUAAUAUAAAUACUAUAGAGCCAAAUUUAGUAAGCUCAGUAUGGUCCUGUUGUAAUGAGGUAAUACAAAAAAAAAGGAAGAACUGAUUUAAUCACAGAAUUAUAA